GACGAACGCUGGCGGCGUGCCUAACACAUGCAAGUCGAGCGAAUGAAGUUCCUUCGGGAAUGGAUUUAGCGGCGGACGGGUGAGUAACACGUGGGCAACCUGCCUCAUAGAGGGGAAUAGCCUCCCGAAAGGGAGAUUAAUACCGCAUAAGAUUGUAGUACCGCAUGAUACAGCAAUUAAAGGAGCAAUCCGCUAUGAGAUGGGCCCGCGGCGCAUUAGCUAGUUGGUGAGGUAAUGGCUCACCAAGGCGACGAUGCGUAGCCGACCUGAGAGGGUGAUCGGCCACAUUGGGACUGAGACACGGCCCAGACCCCUACGGGAGGCAGCAGUGGGGAAUAUUGCACAAUGGGGGAAACCCUGAUGCAGCAACGCCGCGUGAGUGAUGACGGCCUUCGGGUUGUAAAGCUCUGUCUUCAGGGACGAUAAUGACGGUACCUGAGGAGGAAGCCACGGCUAACUACGUG
This 464-nucleotide ribosomal RNA is filed under the name uncultured bacterium. RNAcentral's name for it is "partial 16S ribosomal RNA". It matches the Rfam family "Bacterial small subunit ribosomal RNA", at positions 28 to 507 of the family's 1533-position model. The record is from RNAcentral.